UCUGGCCUGUUCUACGUGCGAGUUCCACCAUGCAAGUUUUGAGCUAUUUGAAUCCAAAAACUUGACACGUUGAGCUCGUGCGUGGAGCGGCAAAAUCAUCGCC
Molecule: microRNA precursor, 103 nt
Filed under: Drosophila guanche
Lineage: Eukaryota; Metazoa; Arthropoda; Insecta; Diptera; Drosophilidae
Rfam family: mir-969 microRNA precursor family (bases 7-90)
Source: RNAcentral